CGUCUGUUCCGAGAAAAAUUAACGCGUUACCGAGAAUGUUCUGCAAGGCAAAGCUGGAAGGACCACUCGGUGUGAGGGCUCGCUCCUGACGCAAGCUCGAAAUCGGUUCCGGCUGCUACUUGCCAUACUCCAGGCACGUGAGAUGUCCCCCAACUCGAUCUACGUCCCAGCAGCCUUAAUCCGGACUCGGCCAAGCGUUUGCGACAUUCAUUUCCGGCAGGCCAUUUUGAAAA
This is a long non-coding RNA of Culex pipiens pallens (northern house mosquito), 233 nucleotides long. RefSeq lists it as uncharacterized. The record is from RefSeq and is a predicted model, not a curated record. The transcript is spliced from 2 exons. Lineage: Eukaryota; Metazoa; Arthropoda; Insecta; Diptera; Culicidae.